AUCACUUCUCAGCCUUUUGGCUGAGAUCAAGUGUAAAAGGUAUAGGGACCCAAAACAUUGGUUUUGAUCCACUUUGCUCUGCCAGUCAUCAGCUUCAUGACCUUGGGCAAGAGAUUUUACCCAUUUUAAACUUAUUUCUCUAUUUUUAAUAGGGGAAGAAUAAUACAU
This 168-nucleotide small nuclear RNA is filed under the name Fukomys damarensis (Damara mole-rat). RNAcentral describes it as "U2 spliceosomal RNA". Lineage: Eukaryota; Metazoa; Chordata; Mammalia; Rodentia; Bathyergidae. The record is from Rfam by way of RNAcentral.